CACACGGAAUCGAGAGCUCCAA
This 22-nucleotide small nuclear RNA is filed under the name Arabidopsis thaliana (thale cress). Its description in RNAcentral is "snRNA_09673". The record is from RNAcentral. Lineage: Eukaryota; Viridiplantae; Streptophyta; Magnoliopsida; Brassicales; Brassicaceae.